This is a long non-coding RNA of Vespula pensylvanica (western yellowjacket), 757 nucleotides long. RefSeq lists it as uncharacterized. The transcript is spliced from 4 exons. The record is from RefSeq and is a predicted model, not a curated record. Lineage: Eukaryota; Metazoa; Arthropoda; Insecta; Hymenoptera; Vespidae.
CGAUUACAUAUUGUGAAAAAGAGGUUAUUGUUUAUAUUCAGCAAGAAAGUAUUUUUAAAUAACGUUAGUAUUUAAUUUAAACAUUCAUCAAUGGAUUUAUAUCGAUGUCAUCUACGAUAGAACUGAGUUAGAAAAAGGUUAUAUAAUGCUAUAUAAUAAAAAGAAGAAGUUGCCAGCAAGGUUAGGAUUGAAAGUUCAUUCGAUACAUUAGUAAUAUAAACUACUACACCUUCAUGUUUUUGAAUAAUGAGGCUAGUGAAGUCUGAUAAAAUUUAUUCAAAUAAGAUAGUAAGUAAUAAAAAUAUUGAUAUAAUUAUCUCUAUAUAUUGAUUUCAGUAUUCUUAAUUUGCUAUUCAAUGAUUUUAUAAUUUGCAAUUUAAAAUGUAAAGAGAAUAAACAUCACGGGAAACAUUGCUAGAAGAAAUGCGUUAGGUUUCGAAGUUCAACAGUUUCUUGUUGAAAUUGUAAAAGCCACGAACGAUGUUUUAUAUGGGAUAAUUACAAAGAUAGUAAAAAGAAUGAAAACAAGACGUCGACGAAGGAAGAAGGAGCUGUCUGAAACACCGUUUUCUGAUGUAUCAACGGAUGACAAGCUGCUUCAAAAUUUUUCUUCGAGCAACUGGUGUAAAUAUAAAAUAGAUAGAGCAAAGCUUUAUCUACAAGACUUCUUUACCUGAGCUUAUUAUGUUGAUUGUAUGGCUACUUUACAAAAAUUUGGCAAAUUCAAAUGUAUUGAAGAAAUGUCUCGUAGAGAAAA